RNAcentral lists this ribosomal RNA (1394 nucleotides) under bacterium NLAE-zl-P324. Its description in RNAcentral is "16S ribosomal RNA". It matches the Rfam family "Bacterial small subunit ribosomal RNA". The record is from RNAcentral.
CAUGCAAGUCGAGGGGCAGCAUUUCAGUUUGCUUGCAAACUGGAGAUGGCGACCGGCGCACGGGUGAGUAACACGUAUCCAACCUGCCGAUAACUCGGGGAUAGCCUUUCGAAAGAAAGAUUAAUACCCGAUGGNAUAAUCAGACCGCAUGGUCUNAUUAUUAAAGAAUUUCGGUUAUCGAUGGGGAUGCGUUCCAUUAGGCAGUUGGUGAGGUAACGGCUCACCAAACCUUCGAUGGAUAGGGGUUCUGAGAGGAAGGUCCCCCACAUUGGAACUGAGACACGGUCCAAACUCCUACGGGAGGCAGCAGUGAGGAAUAUUGGUCAAUGGGCGCAGGCCUGAACCAGCCAAGUAGCGUGAAGGAUGACUGCCCUAUGGGUUGUAAACUUCUUUUAUAUGGGAAUAAAGUUUUCCACGUGUGGAAUUUUGUAUGUACCAUAUGAAUAAGGAUCGGCUAACUCCGUGCCAGCAGCCGCGGUAAUACGGAGGAUCCGAGCGUUAUCCGGAUUUAUUGGGUUUAAAGGGAGCGUAGGUGGACAGUUAAGUCAGUUGUGAAAGUUUGCGGCUCAACCGUAAAAUUGCAGUUGAUACUGGCUGUCUUGAGUACAGUAGAGGUGGGCGGAAUUCGUGGUGUAGCGGUGAAAUGCUUAGAUAUCACGAAGAACUCCGAUUGCGAAGGCAGCUCACUGGACUGCAACUGACACUGAUGCUCGAAAGUGUGGGUAUCAAACAGGAUUAGAUACCCUGGUAGUCCACACAGUAAACGAUGAAUACUCGCUGUUUGCGAUAUACAGUAAGCGGCCAAGCGAAAGCAUUAAGUAUUCCACCUGGGGAGUACGCCGGCAACGGUGAAACUCAAAGGAAUUGACGGGGGCCCGCACAAGCGGAGGAACAUGUGGUUUAAUUCGAUGAUACGCGAGGAACCUUACCCGGGCUUAAAUUGCAUUUGAAUANUNUGGAAACAGNUUAGCCGCAAGGCAAAUGUGAAGGUGCUGCAUGGUUGUCGUCAGCUCGUGCCGUGAGGUGUCGGCUUAAGUGCCAUAACGAGCGCAACCCUUAUCUUUAGUUACUAACAGGUCAUGCUGAGGACUCUAGAGAGACUGCCGUCGUAAGAUGUGAGGAAGGUGGGGAUGACGUCAAAUCAGCACGGCCCUUACGUCCGGGGCUACACACGUGUUACAAUGGGGGGUACAGAAGGCAGCUACCUGGUGACAGGAUGCUAAUCCCAAAAGCCUCUCUCAGUUCGGAUCGAAGUCUGCAACCCGACUUCGUGAAGCUGGAUUCGCUAGUAAUCGCGCAUCAGCCAUGGCGCGGUGAAUACGUUCCCGGGCCUUGUACACACCGCCCGUCAAGCCAUGAAAGCCGGGGGUACCUGAAGUACGAACCGCAAGGAG